RNAcentral lists this long non-coding RNA (846 nucleotides) under Felis catus (domestic cat). RNAcentral describes it as "lncRNA (ENSFCAG00000043251.2)". The record is from RNAcentral. Lineage: Eukaryota; Metazoa; Chordata; Mammalia; Carnivora; Felidae.
AUGAUCCUUUACCCCAGCUGGCCCACCUCUCUCUCUGGUAACACUCUCUGCCCCUUGACCUUAUGAUUCCUGAGACACACUGCUGCAGUUGCUGCCCGGCUUUUCUGGAUGCCAAGAAAGUGCUCAGGCCUUUGCUUGCUUUUCUGGAUUUCUCAAGCCAGAUUCAGACCCAAUGCCACAGACUGUCUAAUCCAAGAAACACAUUAUGUUUUCCCCCAGGCUUUAGACAAAACAUGAACAGAAUUCUCUUCCUGCUGUAUUUCAGUCAAGCGAACAACUUCGUCUCCUGCGUGAACCAAGUAAAUUUGCUGGAUGCCAUCCAUGAUGCUCUUCUCCCCUUUAUCCUUCAUCAUAUAUGGUAUCUACCUGAUGGAUGUUGGGUCCUUACAGCAGGGAGAAGAUGCACUCAUCUUUGUAUUUCUAGCACCUAUCACAGGACUGGAAAAGCUGGCCAUCAGAUAAAUGUAAGUGAAGGUGGUGCAAAAGGACUUUAUAGAUGCUGAAGGCAUGUCAUUGCUGACCAGGAUGUUUUCUACAGUAAUUCCAAGCUAGAAUGGGGCUGCCUUUUUUAAGAGAUCUCAGGAAUUAUCCUGGGAAAUUUUAGACAAGGCAAAUGAAGUGGAGUGAAACUUAAAAUGUACAAAUAGUCAUUUUUCCAUAAAUGGUCUCUGUGUGUAUAAAAGACAAUAUCUUAUAUGUUAUGCUACCAAUGCAUAUUGCAAUAAUACAGGUGACCUUUUAAGAAUACAUUACGUGGUUACUUGUUAAGUAUCUAUUGUCUUUAGAGGUACGUCCGGGAAUUUUAAAAGGUGCACUUCUAAAAAAAUAAAUUUAAUUGAUGUAGCA